Molecule: ribosomal RNA, 522 nt
Filed under: uncultured bacterium
Lineage: Bacteria
Description: bacterial SSU rRNA
Rfam family: Bacterial small subunit ribosomal RNA
Source: RNAcentral
AGAGUUUGAUCCUGGCUCAGGAUGAACGAUAGCUACAGGCUUAACACAUGCAAGUCGAGGGGCAACAUGGGGUUUGCUUGCAAACUUCGAUGGCGACCGGCGCACGGGUGAGUAACGCGUAUCCAACCUUCCCCUUAGUAGGGCAUAGCCCGGCGAAAGUCGGAUUAAUACCCUAUGUUGUAUGACGAUGACAUCAGAAUUAUACCAAAGAUUAAUCGCUAAGGGAUGGGGAUGCGUCUGAUUAGGUUGUUGGCGGGGUAACGGCCCACCAAGCCUACGAUCAGUAGGGGUUCUGAGAGGAAGGUCCCCCACACUGGUACUGAGACACGGACCAGACUCCUACGGGAGGCAGCAGUGAGGAAUAUUGGUCAAUGGACGAGAGUCUGAACCAGCCAAGUAAGCGUGCAGGAAGACGGCCCUAUGGGUUGUAAACUGCUUUUAUCAGGGGAUAAAGUGGGAAACGUGUUUUCCAUUGCAGGUACCUGAUGAAUAAGGACCGGCUAAUUCCGUGCCAGCCGCCGC